Molecule: ribosomal RNA, 500 nt
Filed under: uncultured bacterium
Lineage: Bacteria
Description: partial 16S ribosomal RNA
Rfam family: Bacterial small subunit ribosomal RNA
Source: RNAcentral
AUUGAACGCUGGCGGCAUGCCUUACACAUGCAAGUCGAACGGCAGCACGGGAGCAAUCCUGGUGGCGAGUGGCGAACGGGUGAGUAAAGUAUCGGAACGUGCCCAGUCGUGGGGGAUAACGUAGCGAAAGUUACGCUAAUACCGCAUACGAUCUAUGGAUGAAAGCGGGGGAUCGCAAGACCUCGCGCGAGUGGGGCGGCCGAUAUCAGAUUAGGUAGUUGGUGGGGUAAAGGCUCACCAAGCCGACGACCUGUAGGUGGUCUGAGAGGAGGACCAGCCACCAGGGGACGGGGACACGGCCCAGAGUCCUCCGGGAGGCAGCAAUGGGGAAUUUUGGACAAUGGGCGAAAGCCUGAUCCAGCCAUGCCGCGUGCAGGAUGAAGGCCUUCGGGUUGUAAACUGCUUUUGUACGGAACGAAAAGGUUUGGCCUAAUAAGCUGAGCUCAUGACGGUACCGUAAGAAUAAGCACCUGCAAACUACGUGCCAGCCGCCGCAGUAA